RNAcentral lists this ribosomal RNA (254 nucleotides) under uncultured bacterium. Its description in RNAcentral is "partial 16S ribosomal RNA". It matches the Rfam family "Bacterial small subunit ribosomal RNA", at positions 524 to 776 of the family's 1533-position model. The record is from RNAcentral.
UACGGAGGGUGCGAGCGUUGUCCGGAAUCACUGGGCGUAAAGGGCGCGUAGGCGGCUCAUGAAGGCUGUGGUGAAAGUCCGGGGCUCAACCUCGGAUCGGCCGUGGCGACUCGUGGGCUGGAGCACUGUAGAGGCGGGUGGAAUUCCGGGUGUAGCGGUGGAAUGCGUAGAGAUCCGGAAGAACACCAGUGGCGAAGGCGGCCCGCUGGGCAGUGGCUGACGCUGAGGCGCGACAGGCGUGGGGAGCAAACAGG